RNAcentral lists this ribosomal RNA (732 nucleotides) under uncultured bacterium. Its description in RNAcentral is "bacterial SSU rRNA". It matches the Rfam family "Bacterial small subunit ribosomal RNA", at positions 755 to 1482 of the family's 1533-position model. The record is from RNAcentral.
GAAAGCAUGGGGAGCGAACAGGAUUAGAUACCCUGGUAGUCCAUGCCGUAAACGUUGGGAACUAGAUGUAGGGCCUGUUCCACGGGUUCUGUGUCGUAGCUAACGCAUUAAGUUCCCCGCCUGGGGAGUACGGCCCGCAAGGCUAAAACUCAAAGGAAUUGACGGGGGCCCGCACAAGCGGCGGAGCAUGCGGAUUAAUUCGAUGCAACGCGAAGAACCUUACCAAGGCUUGACAUAGCCGAGAACGCUGUAGAGAUACAGAACUCUUUGGACACUCGGUUACAGGUGGUGCAUGGUUGUCGUCAGCUCGUGUCGUGAGAUGUUCGGUUAAGUCCGGCAACGAGCGCAACCCUCGUCCUAUGUUGCCAGCACGUUAUGGUGGGAACUCAUGGGAUACUGCCGUGGUCAACACGGAGGAAGGUGGGGAUGACGUCAAGUCAUCAUGCCCCUUAUGUCUUGGGCUUCACGCAUGCUACAAUGGCCGAUACAAAGGGCUGCGAUACCGCGAGGUGGAGCGAAUCCCAAAAAGUCGGUCUCAGUUCGGAUUGGGGUCUGCAACUCGACCCCAUGAAGUCGGAGUCGCUAGUAAUCGCAGAUCAGCAACGCUGCGGUGAAUACGUUCCCGGGCCUUGUACACACCGCCCGUCAAGUCAUGAAAGUCGGUAACACCCGAAGCCGGUGGCCUAACCCUUGUGGAGGGAGCCGUCGAAGGUGGGACUGGUGAUUAGGACU